GCGGUGGUGGUUCCAGGCGAGAAUUCUUGCCUUCCGUGUAGGAGACCUGGGUUCAGUUCCCAGCCAAUGCA
Molecule: transfer RNA, 71 nt
Filed under: Loxodonta africana (African savanna elephant)
Lineage: Eukaryota; Metazoa; Chordata; Mammalia; Proboscidea; Elephantidae
Rfam family: tRNA
About the family: Transfer RNA (tRNA) molecules are approximately 80 nucleotides in length. Their secondary structure includes four short double-helical elements and three loops (D, anti-codon, and T loops). Further hydrogen bonds mediate the characteristic L-shaped molecular structure. tRNAs have two regions of fundamental functional importance: the anti-codon, which is responsible for specific mRNA codon recognition, and the 3' end, to which the tRNAs corresponding amino acid is attached (by aminoacyl-tRNA synthetases). tRNAs cope with the degeneracy of the genetic code in two manners: having more than one tRNA (with a specific anti-codon) for a particular amino acid; and 'wobble' base-pairing, i.e. permitting non-standard base-pairing at the 3rd anti-codon position.
Source: Rfam by way of RNAcentral